GCCUGGCUGGCUCAGUCGGUAGAGCACGGGACUCAAUCUCAGGUUUAUGAGUUCAAGCCUCACGCUGUGCA
This 71-nucleotide transfer RNA is filed under the name Felis catus (domestic cat). It matches the Rfam family "tRNA". From Rfam's summary of the family: Transfer RNA (tRNA) molecules are approximately 80 nucleotides in length. RNAcentral also lists the same sequence under 4 other names. Lineage: Eukaryota; Metazoa; Chordata; Mammalia; Carnivora; Felidae. The record is from Rfam by way of RNAcentral.